This 660-nucleotide ribosomal RNA is filed under the name Halomonas sp. A-07. RNAcentral describes it as "bacterial SSU rRNA". It matches the Rfam family "Bacterial small subunit ribosomal RNA", at positions 724 to 1378 of the family's 1533-position model. Lineage: Bacteria; Pseudomonadati; Pseudomonadota; Gammaproteobacteria; Oceanospirillales; Halomonadaceae. The record is from RNAcentral.
GCCUUCUGGACUGACACUGACGCUGAGGUGCGAAACGCUGUGGGUACGCUAAACAGGAUUAGAUACCCUGGUAGUCCACGCCGUAAACGAUGUCGACUAGCCGUUGGGCUCCUUGAGAGCUUUGUGGCGCAGUUAACGCGAUAAGUCGACCGCCUGGGGAGUACGGCCGCAAGGUUAAAACUCAAAUGAAUUGACGGGGGCCCGCACAAGCGGUGGAGCAUGUGGUUUAAUUCGAUGCAACGCGAAGAACCUUACCUACCCUUGACAUCGUGCGAACUUGGCAGAGAUGCCUUGGUGCCUUCGGGAACGCACAGACAGGUGCUGCAUGGCUGUCGUCAGCUCGUGUUGUGAAAUGUUGGGUUAAGUCCCGUAACGAGCGCAACCCUUGUCCUUAUUUGCCAGCGAGUCAUGUCGGGAACUCUAAGGAGACUGCCGGUGACAAACCGGAGGAAGGUGGGGACGACGUCAAGUCAUCAUGGCCCUUACGGGUAGGGCUACACACGUGCUACAAUGGGCCGGUACAAAGGGUUGCGAAGCCGCGAGGUGGAGCUAAUCCCGAAAAGCUGGUCUCAGUCCGGAUCGGAGUCUGCAACUCGACUCCGUGAAGUCGGAAUCGCUAGUAAUCGUGAAUCAGGAUGUCACGGUGAAUACGUUCCCGGG